Molecule: ribosomal RNA, 253 nt
Filed under: uncultured bacterium
Lineage: Bacteria
Description: partial 16S ribosomal RNA
Rfam family: Bacterial small subunit ribosomal RNA
Source: RNAcentral
UACGUAGGGGGCAAGCGUUGUCCGGAAUCAUUGGGCGUAAAGCGCGUGUAGGCGGCCCGGUAAGUCCGCUGUGAAAGUCGGGGGCUCAACCCUCGAAUGCCGGUGGAUACUGUCGGGCUAGAGUACGGAAGAGGCGAGUGGAAUUCCUGGUGUAGCGGUGAAAUGCGUAGAUAUCGGGAGGAACACCAGUGGCGAAGGCGGCUGUCUGGGCCGAUACUGACGCUGAGGAGCGCAAGCGUGGGGAGCGAACAGG